Molecule: long non-coding RNA, 230 nt
Filed under: Musa acuminata (dwarf banana)
Lineage: Eukaryota; Viridiplantae; Streptophyta; Magnoliopsida; Zingiberales; Musaceae
Description: long non-coding RNA (MACU_LNC005698)
Source: RNAcentral
GGACAUAAUAGCUAAAGACUCAAUGUUACUAUAUGGGGGGUUAGUCACUCGAUUAAUGCUUGCUUAUAAUAUUUGUAUCUCACUCGAUGAAGAAAUAAUCCAGGUCGAUCGAUUUAACACUAUCAACAGAAACCUACUCAAGAGACUUAGGUGCACUUUUGGCAAUGGUAUAUGGAUUAGGCAACCUAGAAGGACUGAUCCAGUUCUCCCACCAGUAGAACACCUUGAAA